CUGAAUAAAUAAGGUAUCUUAUAUCUUUUAAUUAACAGUUAAACGCUUCCAUAAAGCUUUUAUCCA
This 66-nucleotide transfer RNA is filed under the name Myxine glutinosa (Atlantic hagfish). Its description in RNAcentral is "tRNA-Asn". The record is from RNAcentral. Lineage: Eukaryota; Metazoa; Chordata; Myxini; Myxiniformes; Myxinidae.